This 367-nucleotide long non-coding RNA is filed under the name Parus major (Great Tit). RNAcentral describes it as "lncRNA (ENSPMJG00000001347.1)". Lineage: Eukaryota; Metazoa; Chordata; Aves; Passeriformes; Paridae. The record is from RNAcentral.
GUUGUGUAUCUCUUGAAAAUGUGGUUAUGAAUAAGAAUGGAUAAAAAUUGUUUCUGCAUGUUGAGAAAAUCUGGGAUCUCUUGAAAAUUGCAUUUUCAGGUAUUCUGCUGGACUUGCUUCUCUCCAGUUCUGGUUUUUGAUUCUGCUAGCAGCUUGCAGGUGUCUGUCCUUCAUAGCCAGUGUUUGCUUUCAGACAGGCAAAAGAGCAGUAUCAAACUUGAAUAAAUCAACUGUGGAUGCCCCUUUUUUGAAUAAGUUUUGAAUAUUCUGCUGACAGACUGAUUUCUUCAUCUUACUGGUGAUUUUCCAGCUUAGUAAAGGUAACCCCUUGGAAUUCCAUCAUCAAAUAAAGUUCUACAUUUGCACA